Mustela putorius furo (domestic ferret) is the source of this 1674-nucleotide long non-coding RNA. The record is from Ensembl. Lineage: Eukaryota; Metazoa; Chordata; Mammalia; Carnivora; Mustelidae.
AUGACACAAAGCAGGGUUCAGCUCACUCAUUCUCCUCUACUCUUCCACAGUCAUCCAGGGCUCCCACAGCCACCGGAUCAAGACCCACGUCAGCCUGCAGUUCAAAGACAGAGAUGCGAGCCGUUCCUCACAGAGCCAGUAUUCGCCCCUCCUGGAAUGUGGUCAGGGCACCAGACGGGACCCAGCGAUGAGUGGGCAGAUGGACAGAUGUCUGCAAAUCCACCAGGGAUGGAAACAAGCCACGGACUCCAUGCCGGAUGGGUCCAUACUGGGUACCAUUUCUACCGCAAACAGGGGCAUAGGGUUUCUAAGGGAGAGAGGGGGCGGGGAUUGGUAGGGAGUGUGCUCUCCCUCAAGUGCAUAACUGAGACCGGGGUGUGCUCACGAGUUGACCUGUGUCUGACUUCAUUCCCACUGUCUUCACUAAUGACGUCAGUCAGGGAAUGAGGACACCAUGAGUGAUCAUUAAAUUUACAUACAAUACAUCUCAAGCAAUUGUUUUCUAUGAUGACCUCGUCCCCUAUCUCCAGAUCUCUGAACUUGUCAAACAUUAAGCUUGUUUCUGUGUCGAUCACGCCCUCUGUCACACUUCAUGUUUUGGAUAUUUACUGUCUGGUUGUUAGACCUCAAGAUUCUGUAGAAGAGUGAUGAAGUCAUUUUUCUAUGUGUCUCCCAUAGGGCCCUGGACAGGCUAAGCACUCAAUAAAUAAAGAGUGAGAUCAUCUACUGUGAGCUUUGCCUUGGAGCGACCAUCCUGGUUCUCUCCAGGGAUGAGCUGCCUGUGUCUCUCCAGGUCACGUCCACUCCCCAGUCCAUUGCCUUCACAGGUCAUGAGCUGGGGCCAUCUUCCCCAGAGGACUUUUAGGUUGAGCCCAUUUUAAAAGAUACCCAUUGUUCCUGUUUGUGACUCAUCAUUCCCUCACAGAACAAGUGUCGCUUUGAUUACCUAGUAGAGGCAAGGUUCUGUGCUCGAUGGUUAAACAGACUGCCACCAUACAUGGUCCCAGACCGGAGAAAUGGACUUCGGUUCUCAAGUUUCUCCUCUCCACAGAAAAUGGGGGGAAGCUCCAGCUUCACACUCACGGCCUAAAAUAAAAACAUUUUAGACAGUUUGUAUGAAUAUAUAAUCACACGUUCUGUAAGUACAGAAAAUUGGUCGUUCCUUUUAAAGUCCGUUUAAAGCACCUGGUUGGCUCAGUCCGUUAACCGUUGGCCUCAGGUCACGCUCUCAGCAUCUGCCCAGGCUGGAGCCGUGGUCGGGCGCUCUGCUCCUCCCCUGCCUCCUUCCUCUCCUUCCAUCUCUCUCUCUUUCUCUCUCAAAAUGGAUAAAUAAAAUAUUUCUACAGAAAUCAAAUAAAAUCAACUUAGAUGCAAUCCCUUGUUUCUAGAGAGCCGCCAGCCACUAAAUGCCGGUUAUUGUUCGGACUCUCUUGGCUGGGAUACCCAGGAAUCAGGAGGGUUUCAUGGUUCUGGAGAUGAGGGAUGUGACCUGUAUUCACCCCCAGCAUGUGGCCAUGUCCUCCGGCAGUCUCCUCCAAGACACGCUAGCCCUUUUGAGCAGGCUGGCCACAGUUUCUUGUCAAAGGGCUCAGUUCCCCAGGAGGCCCAGGGGGCCUGAGAGGGACAGGGCAAAGCCAAGUCUCUGCCACUCUCAGAACUUCAUGGGAAAGCUCC